AUUGCACGCUGGCGGCAGGCCUAACACAUGCAAGUCGAGCGAGCGGCGGACGGGUGAGUAAUGUAUGGGGAUCUGCCCGAUAGAGGGGGAUAACGACUGGAAACGGUAGCUAAUACCGCAUACGAUUGGAGCGGCCGCUAUCGGAUUAGCUAGUUGGUGGGGUAAAGGCUCACAAAGGCAAAGAUCAGUAGCUGGUUUGAGAGGACGACCAGCCACACUGGGACUUAGACACGGCCCAGACUCCUACGGCAGGCAGCAGUGGGGAAUUUUGGACAAUGGGGGAAACCCUGAUCCAGCCAUCCCGCGUGUAUGAGAAGGCCUGCGGGUUGUAAAGUACUUUUGGCAGAGAAGCGGUAUCUGCAGAAUAAGCACCGGCUAACUACGUGCCAGCAGCCGCGGUAAUAC
RNAcentral lists this ribosomal RNA (405 nucleotides) under uncultured bacterium. Its description in RNAcentral is "partial 16S ribosomal RNA". It matches the Rfam family "Bacterial small subunit ribosomal RNA", at positions 30 to 526 of the family's 1533-position model. The record is from RNAcentral.